GCUUGGAUAUCUUAAAUUUAAAGUAUAACUCUGAAGAAGUUAUUAUAGGUUUAAUUAAACCUUCCAGGUA
Molecule: transfer RNA, 70 nt
Filed under: Eurydema oleracea
Lineage: Eukaryota; Metazoa; Arthropoda; Insecta; Hemiptera; Pentatomidae
Description: tRNA-Phe
Source: RNAcentral